RNAcentral lists this ribosomal RNA (468 nucleotides) under uncultured bacterium. Its description in RNAcentral is "partial 16S ribosomal RNA". It matches the Rfam family "Bacterial small subunit ribosomal RNA", at positions 28 to 507 of the family's 1533-position model. The record is from RNAcentral.
GACGAACGCUGGCGGCGUGCUUAACACAUGCAAGUCGAACGGAAAGGCCCUGCUUUUGUGGGCUGCUCGAGUGGCGAACGGGUGAGUAACCCGUGAGUAACCUGCCCUUGAGUUUGGUAUAACUUCAUGAAACUUGGGCUCAUCCCGGAUAGGAGCUACCGCUGCAUGGUGGGGGUUGGAAAGUUUCGGCGGUUGGGGAGGGACUGGCGGCCUAUCCGCUUGUUGGUGGGGUAGUGGCUUACCAUGGCUUGGACGGGUAGCGUACCUGCUAGGGGGGCCGGACACAUUGGGACGGGGAUACGGCCCGGACUACUAUGGGAGGGAACAGUGGAGAAUAGUACACAAUGGGCGGAAGCCUAAUGCAGCAAAGCCGCGUGCGGGAUGACGGCCUUCGGGUUGUAAACCGCAUUCGCCUGUGACGAAGCGUGAAUGACGGUAAUGGGUAAAGAAGCACCGGCUAACUACGUG